This 24-nucleotide non-coding RNA is filed under the name Arabidopsis thaliana (thale cress). The record is from RNAcentral. Lineage: Eukaryota; Viridiplantae; Streptophyta; Magnoliopsida; Brassicales; Brassicaceae.
AGUUCGAUGAUGACGUCUUUUCAU